Molecule: ribosomal RNA, 264 nt
Filed under: uncultured archaeon
Lineage: Archaea
Description: partial 16S ribosomal RNA
Rfam family: Archaeal small subunit ribosomal RNA
Source: RNAcentral
AGUCACUGACAUUAGAUACCCCGGUAGUCCCAGCCGUAAACUAUGCGCGUUAGGUGUACUGGUGACCACGAGUCACCGGGGUGCCGAAGGGAAACCGUGAAACGUGCCGCCUGGGAAGUACGGUCGCAAGGCUGAAACUUAAAGGAAUUGGCGGGGGAGCACCGCAACGGGAGGAGCGUGCGGUUUAAUUGGAUUCAACACCGUAAACUCACCAGGGAAGACUGUUACAUGAAAGCCGAGUUGAAGACUCUGCUAGAUUUUCAG